This 2238-nucleotide ribosomal RNA is filed under the name Triticum aestivum (bread wheat). Its description in RNAcentral is "partial small subunit ribosomal RNA". The record is from RNAcentral. Lineage: Eukaryota; Viridiplantae; Streptophyta; Magnoliopsida; Poales; Poaceae.
AUGGCGAAACCAGGCAAGCACACGGCUUCAUCGUCUUCCUUUGUGGUGCCGCUUCUCUACUUGACGAUCACAGUCCUUCUGUCAUCUGGGUGCAAAUCUGUGGACGCAACGGAUAUUCUUCUUCCGGGCCAAUCUCGGAGUGGUAACCAGUCCUUACUCUCGAAAUAUGGUUCCUUCAAGAUGGGCUUCGAUUCAGAUUGCACAUUCGGCAUAUGGUACAUGAACUCAUCAACUUGCAGCCCUCUACUAGUUUGGGCGCCUGAUGUAUUUUCGCCCGGUUGUACAGAUAAGGCUUCGUUUGGACUCUUCAAAAAUGGAAGCCUAUAUCUAAAAAAUGAUGAGGCCUCACUUGCUUGGUCAUCACUUGGUACGGACGGUAUACCUAUCUCUGCAGUUGCAGUACUUCUUGACAAUGGAAAUCUUGUAGUAAGAGACCAAGUGAAUAUCUCUCUGGUGUCCUGGCAAAGCUUUGACAACCCAGUCGGUGCAGUGCUACCUGGAGGAUGGCUAGGAUUUAAUAGGGUCACUGGCAAGAACGUCUCUCUUGUUUGGAUUGAUCGCUUUAUUCUCAAGAUAAAUGCAGAGCAAAGCAGAGGGUUUAUUGUGCAGGAUACUUCCGACAAUAUAAAUUACUCUGAUGCUUUUCCCAGCUGGAUGGACAUUCAUGAGGAGGAUGGAGGCUCUUUUCUGAUGUUCAAUGAUGCACAUCUGUACCUACAAUUGCAUGAUGAUGGUACUGUCAGUGCUGCUAAACUAGGGGACUGUGGUCCGGCGCUGUGGUCUCAAUAUAGUCGGUGCGGUAAUGCAGCAUAUUGUGGCCCAGACAGCAUUUGUGUAGUGCCAUAUGCCGAAAUCCGGUCAUAUUGUUUGAGAGUUGCAGCUCCACAUUGUCUAUCUAAUCUUUCCGCUAAACAAGACAUCUCUUUUCAUCCCAUAGAUGAAGUCCUUGUAUUUCCAGAAACUCCGUCGUUGGUGCAGGUCAGAGGCAUCAGAGAGUGCGAAGCUAUUUGUUCCAGUGACUGUUCUUGUACGUCAUAUGCUUUCAAUGGAACAUGCUUACUGUGGUCUGUGGAGCUGCACAAACUCACUGUAGGGAUCAUGCCUGGUUCAGAUGGGCAUCUGUACAUACGCACGGCUAAGCAAAAAGAAAAUUCGGGUUCCAAGAUUGGAAUUCUUAUUCCAACAGUGACGGGUGUUUUGCUCCUCCUCCUUGUUGCUCUGUUUGUUUGGUGGAGAAGCAAAAGGAAGAUAUUCACAGAAAGACCAGAGAAUUGUAGCGGUGGCCUUAUGAUCUUCUCGGACGCGCAGAUGAAGAAAGCGACGAGAAAUUUCUCUGAAAAACUUGGAGAAGGAGGUUUCGGCUGUGUUUUCAAGGGGACAUUGCCAGCAGCAGCUUCCUCCAUGGUGGCUAUCAAAAGGCUAAAAGACCUUGGUCAAGGAGAGAAGCAAUUCCGAGCCGAAGUGCAAACAAUUGGAAUGAUCCAACACAUCAAUCUUGUCCGUUUAUUUGGGUUUUGUGUGGAAAGAAGUACGAGGAUGCUGGUAUACGAGUACAUGGAGAACGGAUCUUUGAAUUCCCAUCUGUUUUCCAAGGGUUCUUCAAAAUUACCCUGGGAGCUCCGGUACCGCAUAGCACUCGGAACCGCGAGAGGCCUGGCCUAUCUGCACGAGGGGUGCACGGACCGCAUUAUACACUGCGACAUGAAGCCGGACAACGUGCUCCUUGACGCAGACUUCUGUCCCAAAAUUGCAGACUUUGGCAUGGCCAAGCUGCUGGGUCGAGAUUUCAGCAGGGCGCUGACGACGAUGCGAGGGACCAUCGGAUACCUCGCGCCGGAGUGGAUCUCGGGGGUUCCGAUCACACACAAGUCAGAUGUCUACAGCUACGGCAUGAUGCUUCUUGAGAUCAUAUCGGGGCGAAGGAACUCGGAGAAAAUCAAGGAAGGGGAGUUUACCUACUUCCCAAUCUUUGCUGCGGUCAAGGUGAAUGAAGGGGAUGUUGUGUGCCUGCUGGACAGUAGGCUGGCGGGCGAUGCGGAUUUGGAGCAGCUGACCAGAGCUUGCAGAACUGCAUGCUGGUGCAUUCAAGAUGAUGAGGAUCACAGGCCAAUGAUGGGUCAUGUUGUGCGCAUGCUUGAGGGUGUUGUAGACGUCCAAGUACCACCCAUUCCGAGGUCUCUACAGAAUUUUGUGGGAAUGGAUGAUUGCUCUCACUCUACAGCCUUCUAUACUCUUUGA